This 490-nucleotide ribosomal RNA is filed under the name uncultured bacterium. Its description in RNAcentral is "partial 16S ribosomal RNA". It matches the Rfam family "Bacterial small subunit ribosomal RNA", at positions 30 to 507 of the family's 1533-position model. The record is from RNAcentral.
AUUGAACGCUGGCGGCAGGCCUAACACAUGCAAGUCGAACGGUAACAGGAAGAAGCUUGCUUCUUUGCUGACGAGUGGCGGACGGGUGAGUAAUGUCUGGGAAACUGCCUGAUGGAGGGGGAUAACUACUGGAAACGGUAGCUAAUACCGCAUAACGUCGCAAGACCAAAGAGGGGGACCUUCGGGCCUCUUGCCGUCGGAUGUGCCCAGAUGGGAUUAGCUAGUAGGUGGGGUAACGGCUCACCUAGGCGACGAUCCCUAGCUGGUCUGAGAGGAUGACCAGCCACACUGGAACUGAGACACGGUCCAGACUCCUACGGGAGGCAGCAGUGGGGAAUAUUGCACAAUGGGCGCAAGCCUGAUGCAGCCAUGCCGCGUGUAUGAAGAAGGCCUUCGGGUUGUAAAGUACUUUCAGCGGGGAGGAAGGGAGUAAAGUUAAUACCUUUGCUCAUUGACGUUACCCGCAGAAGAAGCACCGGCUAACUCCGUG